Molecule: non-coding RNA, 21 nt
Organism: Caenorhabditis elegans
Lineage: Eukaryota; Metazoa; Nematoda; Chromadorea; Rhabditida; Rhabditidae
Source: Ensembl
UACUGGCAAAUAAUACUGGUG